RNAcentral lists this ribosomal RNA (506 nucleotides) under uncultured bacterium. RNAcentral's name for it is "partial 16S ribosomal RNA". It matches the Rfam family "Bacterial small subunit ribosomal RNA", at positions 29 to 523 of the family's 1533-position model. The record is from RNAcentral.
AGUGAACGCUGGCGGUAGGCCUAACACAUGCAAGUCGAACGGCAGCACAGGAGAGCUUGCUCUCUGGGUGGCGAGUGGCGGACGGGUGAGGAAUACAUCGGAAUCUACUUUUUCGUGGGGGAUAACGUAGGGAGACUUACGCUAAUACCGCAUACGACCUACGGGUGAAAGCAGGGGAUCUUCGGACCUUGCGCGAUUGAAUGAGCCGAUGUCGGAUUAGCUAGUUGGCGGGGUAAAGGCCAACCAAGGCGACGAUCCGUAGCUGGUCUGGGAGGAGGAUCAGCACAACUGGAACUGAGACACGGUCCAGACUCCUACGGGAGGCAGCAGUGGGGAAUAUCGGACAAUGGGCGCAAGCCUGAUCCAGCCAUACCGCGUGGGUGAAGAAGGCCUUCGGGUUGUAAAGCCCUUUUGUUGGGAAAGAAAUCCAGCUGGUUAAUACCCGGUUGGGAUGACGGUACCCAAAGAAUAAGCACCGGCUAACUUCGUGCCAGCAGCCGCCGUAA